GACGAACGCUGGCGGCGUGCUUAACACAUGCAAGUCGAACGGAAAGGCCCUGCUUUUGUGGGGUGCUCGAGUGGCGAACGGGUGAGUAACACGUGAGUAACCUGCCCUUGACUUUGGGAUAACUUCAGGAAACUGGGGCUAAUACCGGAUAGGAGCUCCUGCUGCAUGGUGGGGGUUGGAAAGUUUCGGCGGUAGGGGAUGGACUCGCGGCUUACCAGCUUGUUGGUGGGGUAGUGGCAUACCAAGGGUUUGACGGGUAGCCGGCCUGAGAGGGUGACCGGCCACAUGGGGACUAAGAGACGGCCCAGACUCGUACGUGAGGCAGCAGUGGGGAAUAUUACACAAUGGGCGGAAGCCUGAGGCAGCGACGCCGGGUGCGGGAUGACGGCCUUCGGGUUGUAAACCGCUUUCGCCUGUGACGAAGCGUGAGUGACGGUAAUGGGUAAAGAAGCACCGGCUAACUACGUG
This 468-nucleotide ribosomal RNA is filed under the name uncultured bacterium. RNAcentral describes it as "partial 16S ribosomal RNA". It matches the Rfam family "Bacterial small subunit ribosomal RNA", at positions 28 to 507 of the family's 1533-position model. The record is from RNAcentral.